RNAcentral lists this ribosomal RNA (207 nucleotides) under uncultured bacterium. RNAcentral's name for it is "partial 16S ribosomal RNA". It matches the Rfam family "Bacterial small subunit ribosomal RNA", at positions 568 to 774 of the family's 1533-position model. The record is from RNAcentral.
CUCGUAGGCGGUUCGUCGCGUCCGGUGUGAAAGUCCAUCGCUUAACGGUGGAUCCGCGCCGGGUACGGGCGGGCUUGAGUGCGGUAGGGGAGACUGGAAUUCCCGGUGUAACGGUGGAAUGUGUAGAUAUCGGGAAGAACACCAAUGACGAAGGCAGGUCUCUGGGCCGUCACUGACGCUGAGGAGCGAAAGCGUGGGGAGCGAACA